RNAcentral lists this ribosomal RNA (490 nucleotides) under uncultured bacterium. RNAcentral's name for it is "partial 16S ribosomal RNA". It matches the Rfam family "Bacterial small subunit ribosomal RNA", at positions 30 to 507 of the family's 1533-position model. The record is from RNAcentral.
AUUGAACGCUGGCGGCAGGCCUAACACAUGCAAGUCGAACGGUAACAGGAAACAGCUUGCUGUUUCGCUGACGAGUGGCGGACGGGUGAGUAAUGUCUGGGAAACUGCCUGAUGGAGGGGGAUAACUACUGGAAACGGUAGCUAAUACCGCAUAACGUCGCAAGACCAAAGAGGGGGACCUUCGGGCCUCUUGCCAUCGGAUUUGCCCAGAUGGGAUUAGCUAGUAGGUGGGGUAACGGCUCACCUAGGCGACGAUCCCUAGCUGGUCUGAGAGGAUGACCAGCCACACUGGAACUGAGACACGGUCCAGACUCCUACGGGAGGCAGCAGUGGGGAAUAUUGCACAAUGGGCGAAAGCCUGAUGCAGCCAUGCCGCGUGUAUGAAGAAGGCCUUCGGGUUGUAAAGUACUUUCAGCGGGGAGGAAGGGAGUAAAGUUAAUACCUUUGCUCAUUGACGUUACCCGCAGAAGAAGCACCGGCUAACUCCGUG